Molecule: ribosomal RNA, 253 nt
Filed under: uncultured bacterium
Lineage: Bacteria
Description: partial 16S ribosomal RNA
Rfam family: Bacterial small subunit ribosomal RNA
Source: RNAcentral
UACGGGGGGGGCAAGCGUUGUUCGGAAUUACUGGGCGUAAAGGGCGCGUAGGCGGCUCGCUAAGUCGGAUGUGAAAACUCUGGGCUCACCCCAGAGCCUGCAUUCGAAACUGACGAGCUCGAGUUCUGGAGGGGAAAGCGGAAUUCCUGGUGUAGCGGUGAAAUGCGUAGAUAUCAGGAGGAACACCUGCGGUGUAGACAGCUUUCUGGACCACUGCUGACGCUGAGACACGAAAGCGUGGGUAGCAAACAGG